RNAcentral lists this ribosomal RNA (213 nucleotides) under uncultured fungus. RNAcentral describes it as "partial small subunit ribosomal RNA". The stretch from base 87 to 213 matches the Rfam family "Eukaryotic small subunit ribosomal RNA", at positions 735 to 864 of the family's 1831-position model. The record is from RNAcentral. Lineage: Eukaryota; Fungi.
GCUCUGGCUGGGUGGUCCGCCUUUCGGCUGGUACUGCUCCGGCUGGGGUUCUCCUUCUGGCGGGCUAGCAUGCAACUUGUUGUGUGUUAGUGCGCCAGGACGUUUACUUUGAAAAAAUUAGAGUGUUUAAAGCAGGCCUAUGCUUGAAUACAUUAGCAUGGAAUAAUAGAAUAGGACUUUGGUUCUAUUUUGUUGGUUUCUAGGACCGAAGUA